Non-coding RNA from Phrynosoma platyrhinos (Desert horned lizard), 72 nucleotides. The record is from the annotation of a GenBank genome assembly. NCBI's taxonomy places the organism in Eukaryota, Metazoa, Chordata, Lepidosauria, Squamata, Phrynosomatidae.
GCCAAUGUGGUGUAGUGCUUUAAGCAUUGGAUUAUGACUCUAGAGACCAGGGUUUGAAUCCCUGCUCAGGCA